CGGCACGGGUGAGUAACACGUAUCCAACCUGCCGUCUACUCUUGGACAGCCUUCUGAAAGGAAGAUUAAUACAAGAUGGCAUCAUGAGUCCGCAUGUUCACAUGAUUAAAGGUAUUCCGGUAGACGAUGGGGAUGCGUUCCAUUAGAUAGUAGGCGGGGUAACGGCCCACCUAGUCUUCGAUGGAUAGGGGUUCUGAGAGGAAGGUCCCCCACAUUGAAACUGAGACACGGUCCAA
Molecule: ribosomal RNA, 236 nt
Filed under: uncultured bacterium
Lineage: Bacteria
Description: partial 16S ribosomal RNA
Rfam family: Bacterial small subunit ribosomal RNA
Source: RNAcentral